This 1123-nucleotide ribosomal RNA is filed under the name Brinjal little leaf phytoplasma. RNAcentral's name for it is "bacterial SSU rRNA". It matches the Rfam family "Bacterial small subunit ribosomal RNA", at positions 191 to 1327 of the family's 1533-position model. The record is from RNAcentral. Lineage: Bacteria; Bacillati; Mycoplasmatota; Mollicutes; Acholeplasmatales; Acholeplasmataceae.
AACCUUCUUACGAAGGUAUGCUUAAAGAGGGGCUUGCCCCACAUUAGUUAGUGGGUAGAGUAAAAGCCUACCAAGACGAUGAUGUGUAGCUGGACUGAAAGGUUGAACAGCCACAUUGGGACUGAAACACGGCCCAAACUCCUACGGGAGGCAGCAGUAGGGAAUUUUCGGCAUUGGAGGAAACUCUGACCGAGCAACGCCGCGUGAACGAUGAAGUAUUUCGGUAUGUAAAGUUCUUUUAUUGAAGAAGAAAAAGUAGUGGAAAAACUAUAUUGACGUUAUUCAAUGAAUAAGCCCCGGCUAACUAUGUGCCAGCAGCCGCGGUAAGACAUAGGGGGCGAGCGUUAUCCGGAAUUAUUGGGCGUAAAGGGUGCGUAGGCUGUUAGAUAAGUCUAUAAUUUAAUUUCAGUGCUUAACGCUGUCUUGUUAUAGAAACUGUCUUGACUAGAGUGAGAUAGAGGCAAGCGGAAUUCCAUGUGUAGCGGUAAAAUGUGUAAAUAUAUGGAGGAACACCAGAAGCGUAGGCGGCUUGCUGGGUCUUUACUGACGCUGAGGCACGAAAGCGUGGGUAGCAAACAGGAUUAGAUACCCUGGUAGUCCACGCCGUAAACGAUGAGUACUAAGUGUCGGGGUAAAACUCGGUACUGAAGUUAACACAUUAAGUACUCCGCCUGAGUAGUACGUACGCAAGUAUGAAACUUAAAGGAAUUGACGGGACUCCGCACAAGCGGUGGAUCAUGUUGUUUAAUUCGAAGAUACACGAAAAAUCUUACCAGGUCUUGACAUACUCUGCAAAGCUAUAGAAAUAUAGUGGAGGUUAUCAGGGAUACAGGUGGUGCAUGGUUGUCGUCAGUUCGUGUCGUGAGAUGUUAGGUUAAGUCCUAAAACGAACGCAACCCUUGUCGUUAAUUGCCAGCACAUAAUGGUGGGGACUUUAACGAGACUGCCAAUUAAACAUUGGAGGAAGGUGAGGAUUACGUCAAAUCAUCAUGCCCCUUAUGAUCUGGGCUACAAACGUGAUACAAUGGCUGUGACAAAGAGUAGCUGAAACGCGAGUUUUUAGCCAAUCUCAAAAAAGCAGUCUCAGUUCGGAUUGAAGUCUGUAACUCGACUUCAUGAAGUU